This 1042-nucleotide ribosomal RNA is filed under the name uncultured soil eukaryote. RNAcentral's name for it is "SSU rRNA". It matches the Rfam family "Eukaryotic small subunit ribosomal RNA", at positions 13 to 1008 of the family's 1831-position model. The record is from RNAcentral.
CCUGCCAGUAGUCAUAUGCUUGUCUCAAAGAUUAAGCCAUGCACGUCUAAGAUCGCUAGGGGUGGGCAACCACUUACGAGUAAUCUGCGAAAGGCUCAUUAUAACAGUUACAAACUUGGCUACUAGUUUCCCCACAAGGAUAACACAGCCAAAUGCAGCGAUAAUACUUGAACAAACGUUGGUGAAUUGUAUAGCCAACAAACAGUAGCAACAAAGGAAUGUCUGCUACAUAUCCCCGCAAGGGGUGUUGACCAUAGUAAUGUGGCCUAGAAGAGGUAUUUCUUCCUUAUCAGUUAGUUGUUUCAGUAAGGGUGAAACAAGACACUUACGGGUACGGGGAAUCAGUGUUCGAUUCCGGAGAGGGAGCCUGAGAAAUGGCUACUACAUCUAAGGAGGGCAGCAGGCGCGAAAAUUACCCAAUCCUAACAAUUUUGGGAGGUAGUGACAAGAAAUAACGACCUCACACGCAGACUCUGUCGGUGGGAGGGUACUUCGGUUUGCAAUGGUCCUAGUUUAAAUCUCUAGGAGAGUAUCGAUUGGAGGACAAGUCUGGUGCCAGCACCCGCGGUAAUUCCAGCUCCAAAAGCAUAUACUAAAAUUGCUGUAGUUAAAACGCUCGUAGUUUAUACGUAGGAGAUUAUUGAGAUCAUUUGGUGUGGUGAACAUUUUCGUACCAUUACAUUCAUUUUAUGGAUCUUGGUAUCGAAAGUGACCUUACGGUUUAUUCGCCACAUCCUUAGGUGACGAGUGGUUAAUAGCCAUAAGUCACAAGUGUGAUCAGUAACUCUGUCCAGGAACCGUGAACAAAUUAAUGUGUUUAAGGCAAGCUCGUGUAUCUAAUACAUAGCUUGAAUAAUUUAGCAUGGAACCACUAUACCCUCCUUUUGGAGGGACCUGGUAAUAAAAGCUCGGCGGAGGACUCUGGUAUUGCGCACUUAGAGGUGAAAUUCCGAUAUUUCCGCAAGACGAACGGAUGCGUAGGCUGUCAUUGCCCAUCACACCUUUAUUGAUCAGGAACGAGAGUCAGGGGAUCGAAGAUGAU